UUUGCAUUAAUCUAGGAAGAGUUGGGACAUAGUGAAAUGUUAAGUCAUUAAUUAUUUUAAGGUUGUUAAAAAUGUGGGGUGAUGGUGACAAAUUCAAUGGGAUGUUCCAAUAGAGUUACCUAGGAAAUUUGUGUCUAUGGAUAAAUAAAUAUGUUAUAUUGUGGGAGAAAACACCAUCUGGGGUCAAAAACAUUCACACUACUCCAUAGAUUAGAUAAAGAUUAUAUAUAUAUAUAUAUAUAUAUAUAGUAAGGCUACUAUACUAUUAUGAGUAUUGGAGCCCUCGUAUAUAUAUAGACUAGGCUGCAAUACUAUUAAUAGUACAAAUAACUUGGUGCUAUUAAGUUUUCUACUAUUGGAUUAAAAUGUGUGCAGUUAGGAUGAUGUGAGCCCCUUAGGUUUGAGUGGGUGGUUAAUUAGUUGAAAAGUAUAAUCGAACGGAUAAAAAUGAUAAUUAAAGAGGUAAAUCUAACGGCAGAAAACUUGAUAGCACCAAAUGCUUCGUGCUAGCAUCCCAGCCGGACUCUAUAUAUAUAUAUAUAUAUAUUGACAAAGUGAGAACAGAUGUAUGCUUGUGUUUUU
Molecule: long non-coding RNA, 582 nt
Filed under: Ananas comosus (pineapple)
Lineage: Eukaryota; Viridiplantae; Streptophyta; Magnoliopsida; Poales; Bromeliaceae
Description: long non-coding RNA (ACOM_LNC012933)
Source: RNAcentral